RNAcentral lists this ribosomal RNA (581 nucleotides) under Paenibacillus ottowii. RNAcentral's name for it is "partial 23S ribosomal RNA". It matches the Rfam family "Bacterial large subunit ribosomal RNA", at positions 1581 to 2157 of the family's 2925-position model. The record is from RNAcentral. Lineage: Bacteria; Bacillati; Bacillota; Bacilli; Caryophanales; Paenibacillaceae.
AGUAGCGAAGGUCAUGAUCUCAGACUGCCAAGAAAAGCCUCUAGCCAGGAGAAGGUGCCCGUACCGCAAACCGACACAGGUAGGCGAGAAGAGAAUUCUAAGGCGCGCGGAAGAACUCUCGUUAAGGAACUCGGCAAAAUGACCCCGUAACUUCGGGAGAAGGGGUGCCUCGGUAGGGUGAAUAGCCCGAGGGGGCCGCAGUGAAAAGGCCCAAGCGACUGUUUAGCAAAAACACAGGUCUGUGCGAAGCCGCAAGGCGAAGUAUACGGGCUGACGCCUGCCCGGUGCUGGAAGGUUAAGGGGAGUGGUUAGCUCUUUUAGAGCGAAGCUAUGAACCGAAGCCCCAGUAAACGGCGGCCGUAACUAUAACGGUCCUAAGGUAGCGAAAUUCCUUGUCAGGUAAAUUCUGACCCGCACGAAUGGCGUAACGACUUGGGCGCUGUCUCAACGAGAGAUCCGGUGAAAUUUUAAUACCUGUGAAGAUGCAGGUUACCCGCGACAAGACGGAAAGACCCCAUGGAGCUUUACUGCAGCUUGAUAUUGAAUUUGGGUACGAUCUGUACAGGAUAGGUGGGAGCCGU